Molecule: ribosomal RNA, 1355 nt
Filed under: Vibrio sp. CECT 7692
Lineage: Bacteria; Pseudomonadati; Pseudomonadota; Gammaproteobacteria; Vibrionales; Vibrionaceae
Description: bacterial SSU rRNA
Rfam family: Bacterial small subunit ribosomal RNA
Source: RNAcentral
UUAAGGGCGUCGAGCGGCGGACGGGUGAGUAAUGCCUAGGAAAUUGCCCUGAUGUGGGGGAUAACCAUUGGAAACGAUGGCUAAUACCGCAUKAUGCCUACGGGCCAAAGAGGGGGACCUUCGGGCCUCUCGCGUCAGGAUAUGCCUAGGUGGGAUUAGCUAGUUGGUGAGGUAAUGGCUCACCAAGGCGACGAUCCCUAGCUGGUCUGAGAGGAUGAUCAGCCACACUGGAACUGAGACACGGUCCAGACUCCUACGGGAGGCAGCAGUGGGGAAUAUUGCACAAUGGGCGCAAGCCUGAUGCAGCCAUGCCGCGUGUGUGAAGAAGGCCUUCGGGUUGUAAAGCACUUUCAGUCGUGAGGAAGGUGGUAGUGUUAAUAGCACUAUCAUUUGACGUUAGCGACAGAAGAAGCACCGGCUAACUCCGUGCCAGCAGCCGCGGUAAUACGGAGGGUGCGAGCGUUAAUCGGAAUUACUGGGCGUAAAGCGCAUGCAGGUGGUUUGUUAAGUCAGAUGUGAAAGCCCGGGGCUCAACCUCGGAAUAGCAUUUGAAACUGGCAGACUAGAGUACUGUAGAGGGGGGUAGAAUUUCAGGUGUAGCGGUGAAAUGCGUAGAGAUCUGAAGGAAUACCGGUGGCGAAGGCGGCCCCCUGGACAGAUACUGACACUCAGAUGCGAAAGCGUGGGGAGCAAACAGGAUUAGAUACCCUGGUAGUCCACGCCGUAAACGAUGUCUACUUGGAGGUUGUGGCCUUGAGCCGUGGCUUUCGGAGCUAACGCGUUAAGUAGACCGCCUGGGGAGUACGGUCGCAAGAUUAAAACUCAAAUGAAUUGACGGGGGCCCGCACAAGCGGUGGAGCAUGUGGUUUAAUUCGAUGCAACGCGAAGAACCUUACCUACUCUUGACAUCCAGAGAACUUUCCAGAGAUGGAUUGGUGCCUUCGGGAACUCUGAGACAGGUGCUGCAUGGCUGUCGUCAGCUCGUGUUGUGAAAUGUUGGGUUAAGUCCCGCAACGAGCGCAACCCUUAUCCUUGUUUGCCAGCGAGUAAUGUCGGGAACUCCAGGGAGACUGCCGGUGAUAAACCGGAGGAAGGUGGGGACGACGUCAAGUCAUCAUGGCCCUUACGAGUAGGGCUACACACGUGCUACAAUGGCGCAUACAGAGGGCAGCAAGCUAGCGAUAGUGAGCGAAUCCCAAAAAGUGCGUCGUAGUCCGGAUUGGAGUCUGCAACUCGACUCCAUGAAGUCGGAAUCGCUAGUAAUCGUGGAUCAGAAUGCCACGGUGAAUACGUUCCCGGGCCUUGUACACACCGCCCGUCACACCAUGGGAGUGGGCUGCAAAAGAAGUAGGUAG